Molecule: ribosomal RNA, 253 nt
Filed under: uncultured bacterium
Lineage: Bacteria
Description: partial 16S ribosomal RNA
Rfam family: Bacterial small subunit ribosomal RNA
Source: RNAcentral
UACGAAGGGGGCUAGCGUUGCUCGGAAUCACUGGGCGUAAAGCGCACGUAGGCGGCUUUCUAAGUCAGGGGUGAAAUCCUGGAGCUCAACUCCAGAACUGCCUUUGAUACUGGGAAGCUUGAGUCCGGAAGAGGUGAGUGGAACUCCGAGUGUAGAGGUGAAAUUCGUAGAUAUUCGGAAGAACACCAGUGGCGAAGGCGGCUCACUGGUCCGGUACUGACGCUGAGGCACGAAAGCGUGGGGAGCAAACAGG